UUAAAACUGCAAAGCCCAGCAUCGCCCUGCCGACUUCCCCAUUUACACACCUUUGGACACACUUCAUAGUUAGCUUACUGUGUUUAUCGUCUGUGUCUCCCCACCAGAUCGUAGGCUCAGUGUCCCUUGAUGAAGCAAGCUGUCCUAAUUGAGAAAAACAAGCUCCAAAGGGGACAGAACUAAUCCAUGCCAUGCCAUCAGCUGUGACCUGCCUGCCAAGGCUCCACUUGCUGCAGAAAAUCUCAAAGUCCAGCCCCACUAGGGAUGUCCACGGACCUCCAAAGAAACACUACAUAAGAAAGCAUGCAUAAUCGUCAGUUAAUCAGUCAGCUGCCACGUGUGACCUCCUCCUGGCCAAAUGAGCUCAGAGGUACCCACCCCAGAGACGCUUGUCACACCCAAGGACAUAAAGUAAAUGCAUCACUCUGUCAAAACCCCACCCCAAAACCUGUUCCAUCACUCCAAAUUCCCAGGGAAUAAAAUGAGGGAGAAAAUUGAA
Long non-coding RNA from Peromyscus eremicus (cactus mouse), 499 nucleotides. RefSeq lists it as uncharacterized. The transcript has 2 exons. The record is from RefSeq and is a predicted model, not a curated record. Lineage: Eukaryota; Metazoa; Chordata; Mammalia; Rodentia; Cricetidae.